Molecule: ribosomal RNA, 424 nt
Filed under: Verrucomicrobiota bacterium
Lineage: Bacteria; Pseudomonadati; Verrucomicrobiota
Description: Verrucomicrobia bacterium partial 16S ribosomal RNA
Rfam family: Bacterial small subunit ribosomal RNA
Source: RNAcentral
UGAGGAAUAUUGGUCAAUGGGCGAGAGCCUGAACCAGCCAAGUCGCGUGCAGGAUGACGGCCCUAUGGGUUGUAAACUGCUUUUAUAUGGGAAUAAAGUGAGGGACGUGUCCCUUAUUGCAUGUACCAUACGAAUAAGGACCGGCUAAUUCCGUUCCAGCAGCCGCGGUAAUACGGAAGGUCCAGGCGUUAUCCGGAUUUAUUGGGUUUAAAGGGAGCGUAGGCUGUUUGUUAAGCGUGUUGUGAAAUGUAAGAGCUCAACUUUUAGAUUGCAGCGCGAACUGGCAGACUUGAGUGCGCACAACGUAGGCGGAAUUCAUGGUGUAGCGGUGAAAUGCUUAGAUAUCAUGACGAACUCCGAUUGCGAAGGCAGCUUACGGGAGCGCAACUGACGCUAAAGCUCGAAGGUGCGGGUAUCGAACAGG